GCCAGGCGCAGUGGCACGUGCCUGUAGUCCCAGCUACCUGGGAGGCUGAGGUGGGAGGAUCUCUUGAGCCCAGGAGUUCUGGGCUGUAGUGCACUAUGCCGAUCAGGUGUCUGAUCAAUACGGUGACCUCCCGGGAUCAGGGAACCAUCAGGUUGCCUAAGGAGGGGUGAACGGGCCCAGGUCAGAAAAGGAGCAGUUCAAAACUUCCGGGCUGAUCAGUAGUGGGAUCGCACCUGUGAAUAGCCAGUGCACUCCAGCCUGGGCAACAUAGCAAGACCCCAUCUCU
RNAcentral lists this signal recognition particle RNA (286 nucleotides) under Saimiri boliviensis boliviensis (Bolivian squirrel monkey). RNAcentral describes it as "Metazoan signal recognition particle RNA (ENSSBOG00000003610.1)". It matches the Rfam family "Metazoan signal recognition particle RNA". Rfam says of the family: The signal recognition particle (SRP) is a universally conserved ribonucleoprotein. It is involved in the co-translational targeting of proteins to membranes. Lineage: Eukaryota; Metazoa; Chordata; Mammalia; Primates; Cebidae. The record is from RNAcentral.